UCCGAUAUCAUCUCUUUCCUWGUGUAAUAGAAGCUCCAAGAAGAUUCAAGAAAUUUCCUAUUCAUAUCAUCUUUCAUUAAUCCGUGGUAACCGGAAUCCGCCAUGAAUCUCAUCCUGAGAGAAGUCAGCCAACCCGUUGGCUUGAAAGAAUAGAGUGAUCAUGACAGGAAAUUCACAAAACAUUUAACAUUGAAGUCAUAUCCAGGUAUGUGCAUGAUUCUUAAGUUUGGAAUUCAAGAAAUGAAGCUCAGAAAAAUUGGGUGACCUAGCUAAGGCAGGGGUCUCAGACUUCUUUUGUUAAGAGUUUGUUUUUUAUCAUAAUUUAUCUGAAAUGAUUUUCCAUCAUCAUCACCAGUCUUCAGAAAAUACAACGUAAGAAUGUAAUCUGGGUAGACAUCUGCAAGAAACAAGUAAAUUGCUUAGUGGAAUCACCCUAAAUUCUAAAAGACCUUCUAUUUGAGUUCUGCUUCCAUCCGUUUCAGUGUCUUCAACGGGCUCUUCUGCUCUUAAUUUGUGGAUCUAGUGUCGGUGGGAUUGRUGGUCAGAAUUUGUGCCUUUUGGUCUGCACCAUCUUCAUCUGUUCCAUUUGAUUAGGUCUUCAAUGUUGCUCCUGAGAUGGUAUCUUGCAUCCCUAUUUCUGUAGUCUUGAUUGSAUCUUUGUGAACCAUUAUCAAUACAAAAUGACCAGCAAACCACGAAACUACAAACAGUCAUAAGAACUAUAAGCAACUUCAGAAGUGCAGAAAGUCUUGGCAAGAACCAAAUUGAAUACCAGGUAACAAGUUGUUAUUAAGUUGUUUAUGCCUUUCUUCCCCUAGGCACGGUUUAUGCUCACUCAUCUACCUUUCAUUUCCAA
Molecule: long non-coding RNA, 856 nt
Organism: Cynara cardunculus var. scolymus (artichoke)
Lineage: Eukaryota; Viridiplantae; Streptophyta; Magnoliopsida; Asterales; Asteraceae
Exons: 4
Source: RefSeq, a predicted model, not a curated record